GAUGAACGCUAGCUACAGGCUUAACACAUGCAAGUCGAGGGGAAACGACGUCGAAAGCUUGCUUUUGAUGGGCGUCGACCGGCGCACGGGUGAGUAACGCGUAUCCAACCUGCCCACCACUUGGGGAUAACCUUGCGAAAGUAAGACUAAUACCCAAUGAUAUCUCUAGAAGACAUCUGAAAGAGAUUAAAGAUUUAUCGGUGAUGGAUGGGGAUGCGUCUGAUUAGCUUGUUGGCGGGGUAACGGCCCACCAAGGCUACGAUCAGUAGGGGUUCUGAGAGGAAGGUCCCCCACAUUGGAACUGAGACACGGUCCAAACUCCUACGGGAGGCAGCAGUGAGGAAUAUUGGUCAAUGGACGGGAGUCUGAACCAGCCAAGUAGCGUGCAGGAUGACGGCCCUAUGGGUUGUAAACUGCUUUUAUAAGGGAAUAAAGUGAGUCUCGUGAGACUUUUUGCAUGUACCUUAUGAAUAAGGACCGGCUAAUUCCGUGCCAGCAGCCGCAGUAA
Molecule: ribosomal RNA, 508 nt
Filed under: uncultured bacterium
Lineage: Bacteria
Description: partial 16S ribosomal RNA
Rfam family: Bacterial small subunit ribosomal RNA
Source: RNAcentral